UAGGGAAUCUUCCACAAUGGACGCAAGUCUGAUGGAGCAACGCCGCGUGAGUGAAGAAGGUUUUCGGAUCGUAAAGCUCUGUUGUUGGUGAAGAAGGAUAGAGGUAGUAACUGGCCUUUAUUUGACGGUAAUCAACCAGAAAGUCACGGCUAACUACGUGCCAGCAGCCGCGGUAAAUACGUAGGUGGCAAGCGUUGUCCGGAUUUAUUGGGCGUAAAGCGAGCGCAGGCGGAAGAAUAAGUCUGAUGUGAAAGCCCUCGGCUUAACCGAGGAAUUGCAUCGGAAACUGUUUUCUUGAGUGCAGAAGAGGAGAGUGGAACUCCAUGUGUAGCGGUGGAAUGCGUAGAUAUAUGGAAGAACACCAGUGGCGAAGGCGGCUCUCUGGUCUGCAACUGACGCUGAGGCUCGAAAAGCAUGGGUAGCGAACAGGAUUAGAUACCCUGGUAGUCCAUGCCGUAAAACGAUGAGUGCUAAGUGUUGGGAGGUUUCCGCC
Molecule: ribosomal RNA, 493 nt
Filed under: uncultured bacterium
Lineage: Bacteria
Description: partial 16S ribosomal RNA
Rfam family: Bacterial small subunit ribosomal RNA
Source: RNAcentral